GACACUGGACAUUCUUUCCUGCAUGCCCUCCCUUCCCAAGUAGCUUAACCCUUUGGCCUCCUCCCAUAGGCCCUACCAUUUCUACACCGUGCCUCGAACAUACUGUACAUCUUCCUGGCAGAUGGGCUCGGGUAUAGGUAUAUCUAUCUAUUCACAGCACCAGCGAGCUAUGUACACUUCUUGAGAUAGAUCCUUGUGACUGGUUGUGGGCAGAACGCAGCGCAGCCGGAGGCAGCUACUCCAAAUAGUUUUACAUCGCUCUGUCUGCAGUGCACAUCCAACAGUGAACCUCAAAACUUCAAAAUGGGGUUUUAGCUGUUUCUAUAUCGACGUCGGACCUAUUCGAGAAUUAUUUUAGCCGCUUGCCGGAGAAGGGCAGAGAGGGGAUAGAGUGUGUAAUGAACGACACGGAUAAAGAGCAUGAAGGAGGCAGAGGGAGAAGGGAAACAAGAAAAUCCGAGAAAGAUCAGGUUUGGCUCAUCUAUUAUAAACACGUAGUUGGAUCUCCAAGAUCAUCAAGAAGAGAGUGUGCACCACAUUCAUAGAGGACUGCCUUAGUAAUGGGGCGCUGUGCCAGUGCGGGGGUGAGCGUGAAACGCACGGCUCCAUCGCUACGAGAGACUAUUUCGGUGCAGCCAUCGUCAGCCAGUGGGAUAGCUCUCAGCACUCCUCAGAGUACCCCACUGACGCCUUCGGAGAGUUGGAGUUCGCAGAGGCUGGCAGGAGACACAGCCAUUUCCUGCGCCUGUCGUGCGACACCACCCCUCAGAUGGUAUACACCCUGAUGACAGCCCACUGGGGGGUACCCUCCCCCAACCUGGUGGUUUCUGUGGUGGGGGGUGAGGGGUGCGAGAAAGUCAAGACCUGGGUCAGGGAGGUGCUGAGACAGGGGCUGGUCAGGGCAGCACAGAGCACAGGGGCGUGGAUAGUGACAGGGGGGCUGAGGGAGGGGGUGAGUCAUUGUGUUGGGGAAGCAGUGAGGGAUCAUGCGGCGGCGGCCUCCUCCCUGUCCCAGAAGAAAGUCAUCGCUGUGGGCGUGGCCCCCUGGGGGUUGGUGCACAACAGACAGCAGCUCAUCAACGCACAGGGUAGUUUUCCAGCACGAUAUUAUGUCCAGAACACAUCCCGUGACUCGUGCUGCCUGGAUAAUAACUACCAGGCCUUCCUGCUGGUGGAUGAUGGGAGUGUAGGCCGGCGGGGAGGGGAGAUGGUCUUCAGGGCCAAGAUGGAGGACUACAUCUCCCACCAACGCACAGGCAUCUGGGGCAGUGGCAGUAUAGAUGUCCCUGUAUUGUGUAUGCUCAUCUCAGGGGACGCUGCCAUGCUGGAGAGGGUGGAUCUCUCUCUGAAGAAGGCUACUCCCUGGCUGGUGUUGAAUGGUUCUGGUCCAGCGGCGGACCUUAUCUGUGAGCUGCUGGAUGCACUGUCAGCCGGGCCCAUGAGCCCCCCCUCUCCCCAGUCAGAGGCUGAGGGGAGCAAGAGCCCCAGUGCAGAACUGCGUGACAGGGCCCGUGAGAGGGUCCGGAGGCACUUUACUGCCGAGGCAGACCUGGAGAAGCUGGUGGACAGGGCUCUGAGUAUCUACCAGAACAGAGAUCUGAUCACAGUGUUCCACGGGGAGCAGGAGAGUUCUGAUGAUUUUGACACAGUGCUACUGAAGGCUCUCGUCAGAGCCAGUAAACGUGUGUCCAGCGAUGCCAGUGAGUACACAGAGGAGCUGAAGCUAGCAGUAGCCUGGAACAGGGUGGACAUUGCUAAGAGUGAACUCUUCAACGGAGGCAUCCAAUGGAAGUACGAGGACCUAGAGGAUUCCAUGACGGACGCGCUGAUCAACGACAAGCCCCAGUUCGUGCGUCUCUUCACCGAGAAUGGCCUCAACAUCCUGGACUACCUGACAUACCGGCGUCUGGAGGGCCUGUACCGCUCGCUUUCCGACAGCUCUCUGGCCUACACGCUGCUCCAGCGCCGCCUCACAGAGAGGCAGGGCUUGGCCGGGUCUCUUCCCACCGUCCCCUGCUCUCUGGACAGGGCCUCGCUCCUCAAGAGCCCCAUAUCAGAACCCUCGUCGGCCAAAGAGCUCAGCUUGUAUGAGAUGUCAAGGCUUCUAUGGGACAUCCUGGGAGAUGUGUGUGAGCCCUUCUACUACAGCCCUCUGAAGUUGGACCAAAGCACCAGCACCAGGAGAGCACUGAAGCACAUGAAAAAGUUGUUGCUGGAGGAGUGUACAUACAAGGAGCAACGCUGUCUCUCUCCCUGGGCCUCUCUGUUCAUCUGGGCCGUGCUGCAGAACCGCAGUGAGAUGGCCGUCUACUUCUGGGAGAUGGCAGGGGAGUCUGUCCUCAGUGCUCUGGCUGGCUGUAAGAUUCUGAGGGAGCUGUCUAAGCUGGAGAGUGAGACGGAGACCAAGCUCUCUAUGAAGGAGCUGUCCCAGAAGUUUGAGAACUUGGCCCUUGACGUGUUCAGUGAGUGCUACCAGAGCAGUGAAAGACGCUCCUUCACCCUCCUUAUAAGGAAGUCUCCUGUGUGGGGCGGAGCUACCUGUCUGCAGAUGGCCACUGCAGCUGACGCCCGCCUCUUCUUCAGCCAUGACGGCGUGCAGUCUCUGCUGUCUCAGAUAUGGUGGGGAGACAUGGAGAGGAGCACGAAAGUCUGGAAACUGGUCCUCACUUUCUUCUUACCCCCCCUCAUCUACACCAACCUCAUCACUUUCAGGGAACAGGAGGAGGAGGGGAAGUCGGAGGAGGUGACUCAUGGUCGGGACACAGACAGUCUGGAUGGAGGAGAUGCCACCGUGUUUUCUCUCGCCGACAUCAUGCAAACGGAAGAGGAUGCUGAGGAAUAUGCUGCUCUAAGGGCCAAACUGAAAGGUGCCUCCAAUCCCAAGAGGCCCUUCAUACUGCAGCGCUGGAGGGAGUUCUGGUUUGCGCCCGUCACCUCGUUCCUGGGCAACGUGCUGAUGUACUUCCUGUUCCUUUCCCUGUUUGCUUACAUCCUUUUGGUGGACUUCAAGCCUCCGCCGCCUCACGGCCCGUCCACCUUAGAGUUUGUUCUAUACUUCUGGGUUUUCACCAUGGUCUGUGAGGAGAUUCGACAGACGUUCUUCGUGGGUAGCAACACUAUAUAUCAGAGGAUGAGUCUCUACAUCCAGGACAUGUGGAAUAAGUGUGACAUCUUGGCCAUCUCACUCUUUGCCCUGGGCAUGUGCUGCAGAAUGUUCCCGUGGUCCUAUGAGUUUGGCCGUGCUGUGUUUGCUGUGGACUACAUGGUGUUUACCCUUCGUCUCAUCCACAUCUUCGCCAUCCACAAACAACUGGGACCCAAGAUCAUCAUCGUCGGCAACAUGAUGAAGGACAUCUUCUUCUUCCUCUUCUUCCUGGCGGUGUGGCUCAUGGCCUACGGCGUAGCCAAUCAGGCGCUGCUCUACUCCUAUGACCCCCGUCCCAAUUGGAUCUUUCGCAGAGUGUUCUACAGGCCAUACCUACACAUAUUUGGACAGAUCCCCAUACACGAAAUGGAUGCUGAUAAACUAGAGGAGAGGAUACAGUGCACCAAUAACGCAACCCUGAUCGAGGCAGGGGCAGAGCCCUGCAUGAGUACCUACGCCAACUGGCUGGUGGUCAUCCUUCUGGUCAUCUACCUGUUGGUCACCAACAUCCUCCUGGUCAAUCUGCUCAUCGCCAUGUUCAGUCAUACGUUCUCAAAAGUUCAGGAGAACAGCGACACCUACUGGAAGUUUCAGCGCUACAAGCUUAUCUUGGAGUACCAUUCCAGACCCUGCCUGGCGCCACCCUUCAUCAUCAUCUCCCACCUCCACCUCUUCAUCAAGAGGCGCAUCCGCAGGAUCCCCUCCGUCAAGAUCAAACACUUUGUUCUGGAGAUCCAUGGUAGGCAGGCCAGUAAACUAAACAUGUGGGAGGCCAUCCAGAAGGAGAAUAUACUGUCUGCCCAGAACAAACGAGAGCGGGAGAGCGACUCGGAGAGACUCAAACGCACCUCCGUCAAGGUGGACAGUGUCCUAAAGCAGAUGGUAAAGAUCCAGGACCACAACCGCAGGCUGAGAAUGCUAGAGACCGAGGUCAGUGUCAGCCUGGGCCGCUGCCUCUGGUCACAGCAUACACACACACACACACACACACACACACACACACACACACACACACACACACACACACACACAGCCUUAUAUACCCAGUGGCAACAAGUUUCAGUGGUCCUUAAAGGUGGGGAUGGCUUUGUGUGUGUGGAGGAGCGGAGCUAUUGAGUCCUUACCCCAUGACGCCUGUGCCUCUAGGUCAGCCACCUCAGUCCAAUCCCCGGUCACCGUCCGUUUAGGUUUAACUUUCCUUGUGGAUACCAGAAGUCCUCACAAGGAUAGUAAAACAAGGAAAAUUUGGACAAGUGUGGAUAUUUUGCCUGUCCCCACGAGGAGAAAUACUAUUUUAGGGGUAAGGUUUAGGGUUAGAAUUAGGGUUAGGGUUAGGUAUAGUUUUAGAUUUAGGGGUUAGGGAAAAUAACCUCUCUCUCCUUCUCGCCCCCAUCCCCUCUCUCUUGUUCCAAGUUGGAGUACUGUUCUAGUGCCCUCUCCUGGAUGGUGGACGCUCUCUCUCAGAGUAACUUGGUAAAGACCACACGUCCUCCGCCCGCUCUCAGAGAUCUGACCCCUCUUUC
Oncorhynchus mykiss (rainbow trout) is the source of this 4668-nucleotide non-coding RNA. The record is from RefSeq and is a predicted model, not a curated record. Lineage: Eukaryota; Metazoa; Chordata; Actinopteri; Salmoniformes; Salmonidae.